This 257-nucleotide long non-coding RNA is filed under the name Ananas comosus (pineapple). Its description in RNAcentral is "long non-coding RNA (ACOM_LNC042742)". The record is from RNAcentral. Lineage: Eukaryota; Viridiplantae; Streptophyta; Magnoliopsida; Poales; Bromeliaceae.
UUUUUUUUUGUUAUUGUUGUUGUUGUUGUUGUUUUUCUUUUUUUUUUUCUUUUUUCUUUUUUUUUGAGAGAGAGGUAACACGCUACCCGUUUCGUUUAUUUCAUUUAGAAAUAAACUUAGCUGGAAAUGUGAAUCAACUAGGAUUCGAACUUAGGUCUCGGAUACCAACCACCAAGUCCUUUGCCACUUGCUCUAAGGACGGUCGGUAUGUAGUCCACAUUUCAACCGCUAUAUUUGGAGCCUUACUUACCUGGUGA